RNAcentral lists this ribosomal RNA (497 nucleotides) under uncultured bacterium. RNAcentral describes it as "partial 16S ribosomal RNA". It matches the Rfam family "Bacterial small subunit ribosomal RNA", at positions 28 to 507 of the family's 1533-position model. The record is from RNAcentral.
GAUGAACGCUGGCGGCGUGCCUAAUACAUGCAAGUCGAGCGAACAUACUAGGAGCUUGCUCCUCUGUCGUUAGCGGCGGACGUGUGAUUAACACGUGGAUAACCUACCUAUAAGACUUGGAUAACUUCGUGAAACCGGAGCUAAUACCGGAUAAUAUAUUGAACCGCAUGGUUCUAUAGUCAAAGACGGUUUUGCUGUCCCUUAUAGAUGGAUCCCCGCCGCAUUAGCUAGUUGGUAAGGUAACGGCUUACAAAGUCAAAGAUGCGUAGCCGACCGUAGAGGGGGAACGGCCACACUGGAACGGAGACACGGUCCAGACUCCUACGGGAGGCAGCAGUAGGGAAUCUUCCGCAAUGGGCGAAAGCUUGAAGGAGCAACGCCGAGUGAGUGAUGAAGGUCUUCGGAUCGUAAAACUCUGUUAUUAGGGAAGAACAAAUGUGUAAGUAACUAUGCACGUCUUGACGGUACCUAAUCAGAAAGCCACGGCUAACUACGUG